Molecule: non-coding RNA, 1897 nt
Organism: Triticum urartu
Lineage: Eukaryota; Viridiplantae; Streptophyta; Magnoliopsida; Poales; Poaceae
Source: RefSeq, a predicted model, not a curated record
AAUUUGCAGGAUGCGCUAGGACGGUGAAUUUUCCGCUUGCUGACUAGAGCACUGGUGCUCCUCUCAUCCCCACCCCGAUUCGGCGUCGCGCACGCCACGCCGGAUCUAUAGCCAGUAGGUGCGAUGAUAACCCAUCACCCAUCCCUGCUCCGCCUCCGCGCACCCCUCCCCGCCGGCCUCCGCCACGGGACUUCACACGCCUUGCUUUUCACCGCGGCCGCCUACUCUCCUCCUCCGCCGCCCCUCCGCCUGCUACCUCUGCGCGUCGCCGCUGGAGGAGCCUCACCGGUAGGUCCUGAUGGAGGCAAUCGCGCGACGCCUCCCCCGCUCGGAGCCGCGGCGCUCGACUUCGCGCGGAGCAACUUCCUCCCGCUAGCUCUAAUUGGUGGGAUGACUUUGGGACUCCUGGAUCCAACUCUUGGUUGCCUUGCUCACAAAUAUUCCCUGUCAAAAUACAGCACUUUUGGGAUAUUCAUUAUAUCAGUAAUGGCUUUCUCUUGCAUAGGGCUGACUCUGCGCACUAAGGAGCUUGGCGCAGCGUUACAAGCUUGGCCUGCUGGACUCUUUGGACUAGGCUCAAUUCUGUUGUUCACACCUUUUCUUGCACAAUUUCUUGUGCAAAUUCAGUUCUUCCCUCGUGAAUUUAUCACUGGGUUGGCUAUGUUUUGUUGCAUGCCAACAACAUUAUCAAGUGGAGUCACACUAACACAGCUUGCUGGCGGCAACUCCGCACUUGCUCUUGCAAUGACAGUCAUAUCCAAUCUACUGGGCAUUAUGUUUGUACCUUUGUCUCUUGCAAAGUACAUUGGCACUGGAGCUGGAGUGUCUUUGCCUACUAAGGAAUUAUUCAGAAGCCUGGUCAACACUCUUUUAAUCCCCCUUAUUUUAGGCAAGGUUGCCCGAGAAACCUCAAAAGGUAUUGCUGAAUUUGUUGAUGGAAAUCGCCAGGGCUUUUCAGUUUUAAGUGCUGUUCUUCUCAGCCUAGUCCCAUGGAUACAAGUAAGUAGAUCAAGAUCGCUGCUAUUGUCCGUUAAACCAAAAGCUUUCGCUGUUAUUGUGACUAUUGGAGUGCUUCUACAUCUCGCUCUGCUGGCAUUCAAUGCUACAACACUGCAGGUCUUGUCAUGUCUUAAACAGAAGGAAGAGUCAGUCUUUGCGAGAAAAGAGUAUGCACGAGCUGUCAUUUUGGUGGCCAGUCAGAAAACAUUGCCAGUGCUGGUUGCUGUGGUUGAGCAGCUUGGAGGUGCUCUUGGGGAGUCUGGACUUCUGGUCAUCCCAUGUGUUGCUGCGCACAUUAAUCAGAUCAUUAUCGAUUCUAUCCUAGUAAAUUGGUGGCGCAAAAGAGAUCAACGAUCUACUAAUGCAAAAUAGCUUCAGAAUUUGAAUCUGAUCUAAGUGCAAAGAUCUACCCGAGUGAGGCUUGACAAAUCCAUGGUGAAAUAGGUUAAUUGGACUCGGUAGAUCGCUUGGUGCAUGACAAGGUCAGGAUCCUUAUGAUCCUAGAACUAUUUAGUUCGAAGUCUACAUCAAUGUGGAGUAGGAUAAUGCCAACUAUCCGAACCAUGAACAUCGUCGCGCCCCUUAUGUUAGAGCUGGGGCUUGUGGAGACUGGAAGGCCUUUGCUCUGGCCCUCCAUUGGAUGAACAGAAAUUUCCUACGCCGAAGAUGUUGCUCUAAUUCGAGUUGGGGCUCCACGGUACUCGCACUAUGCUGACAAGAGUGAGAAUCAUUUCACGACAUGAUUAGCAAAUGGAUGUAAGUGUUCUGAAUGUUAGCCGCGAAACAAACUUGGUGAGGCGCUAGCAAGUUAGCUGGAGUAUAGGGAAGAUACAAGUACACUAGUUUCUUCUUAACAGCUCGUAAUAUGGUGAAAUAUACAGGUUUGUAUUGCAAGUUA